RNAcentral lists this ribosomal RNA (429 nucleotides) under Bacteroidota bacterium. RNAcentral describes it as "Bacteroidetes bacterium partial 16S ribosomal RNA". It matches the Rfam family "Bacterial small subunit ribosomal RNA", at positions 355 to 776 of the family's 1533-position model. Lineage: Bacteria; Pseudomonadati; Bacteroidota. The record is from RNAcentral.
UAGGGAAUCUUCGGCAAUGGGGGGAACCCUGACCGAGCAACGCCGCGUGAGUGAAGAAGGUUUUCGGAUCGUAAAGCUCUGUUGUUAAGGAAGAACGAGUGUGAGAAUGGAAAGUUCAUGCUGUGACGGUACUUAACCAGAAAGUGACGGCUAACUACGUGCCAGCAGCCGCGGUAAUACGUAGGUCCCGAGCGUUGUUCGGAUUUAUUGGGCGUAAAGCGAGCGCAGGCGGUUAGAAAAGUCUGAAGUGAAAGGCAGUGGCUCAACCAUUGUAGGCUUUGGAAACUGUUUAACUUGAGUGCAGAAGGGGAGAGUGAAAUUCCAUGUGUAGCGGUGAAAUGCGUAGAUAUAUGGAGGAACACCGGUGGCGAAAGCGGCUCUAUGGUCUGUAACUGACACUGAGGCUCGAAAGCGUGGGGAGCGAACAGG